GAUGAACGCUAGCGAUAGGCUUAACACAUGCAAGUCGAGGGGCAGCAUGGUCUUAGCUUGCUAAGACUGAUGGCGACCGGUGCACGGGUGCGUAACGCGUAUGCAACUUGCCUCACAGAGGGGGAUAACCCGUCGAAAGACGGACUAAUACCGCGUACACUUGGGAUAGGGCAUCCUGACCCAAGGAAAUGAAAUUCGCUGUGAGAUAGGCAUGCGUCCCAUUAGCUAGUUGGUGAGGUAACGGCUCACCAAGGCGACGAUGGGUAGGGGAACUGAGAGGUUGAACCCCCACACUGGUACUGAGACACGGACCAGACUCCUACGGGAGGCAGCAGUGAGGAAUAUUGGUCAAUGGGCGAGAGCCUGAACCAGCCAAGUCGCGUGAAGGAUGACUGUCUUAUGGAUUGUAAACUUCUUUUAUACGGGAAUAACAAGAGCCACGUGUGGCUCCCUGCAUGUACCGUAUGAAUAAGCAUCGGCUAACUCCGUG
RNAcentral lists this ribosomal RNA (490 nucleotides) under uncultured bacterium. RNAcentral's name for it is "partial 16S ribosomal RNA". It matches the Rfam family "Bacterial small subunit ribosomal RNA", at positions 28 to 507 of the family's 1533-position model. The record is from RNAcentral.